RNAcentral lists this ribosomal RNA (601 nucleotides) under uncultured bacterium. RNAcentral's name for it is "bacterial SSU rRNA". It matches the Rfam family "Bacterial small subunit ribosomal RNA", at positions 729 to 1334 of the family's 1533-position model. The record is from RNAcentral.
CUGUAGCGUUACUGACGCUGAAGCUCGAAAGCGUGGGUAUCGAACAGGAUUAGAUACCCUGGUAGUCCACGCGGUAAACGAUGGAUGCUCGCUGUUUGCCUUAUAUGGUAAGCGGCCAAGCGAAAGCAUUAAGCAUCCCACCUGGGGAGUACGCCGGCAACGGUGAAACUCAAAGGAAUUGACGGGGGCCCGCACAAGCGGAGGAACAUGUGGUUUAAUUCGAUGAUACGCGAGGAACCUUACCCGGGCUUGAACUGUAGGUGAACGAUUCAGAGAUGAUGAGGUCCUUCGGGACGCCUAUGGAGGUGCUGCAUGGUUGUCGUCAGCUCGUGCCGUGAGGUGUCGGCUUAAGUGCCAUAACGAGCGCAACCCCUUUCCGCAGUUGCCAUCAGGUAGAGCUGGGCACUCUGCGGAUACUGCCACCGCAAGGUGUGAGGAAGGUGGGGAUGACGUCAAAUCAGCACGGCCCUUACGUCCGGGGCUACACACGUGUUACAAUGGCGCAUACAGCGAGUUGGUCUUUGGCAACAGAGGUCUAAUCAGUAAAAUGCGUCGUAGUUCGGAUUGGGGUCUGCAACCCGACCCCAUGAAGCUGGAUUCG